This 402-nucleotide ribosomal RNA is filed under the name bacterium. Its description in RNAcentral is "partial 16S ribosomal RNA". It matches the Rfam family "Bacterial small subunit ribosomal RNA", at positions 355 to 776 of the family's 1533-position model. The record is from RNAcentral.
UGGGGAAUAUUGCACAAUGGGGGAAACCCUGAUGCAGCGACGCCGCUUGAACGAAGAAGGUAUUCGUAUCGUAAAGUUCUGUCCUAUGGGAAGAUAAUGACAGUACCAUAGAAGAAAGCUCCGGCUAAAUACGUGCCAGCAGCCGCGGUAAUACGUAUGGAGCGAGCGUUGUCCGGAAUUAUUGGGCGUAAAGGGUACGCAGGCGGUUUAAUAAGUCGAAUGUUAAAGAUCGGGCUCAACCCCGCAAAGCAUUGGAAACUGAUAAACUUGAGUAGUGGAGAGGAAAGUGGAAUUCCUAGUGUAGUGGUGAAAUACGUAGAUAUUAGGAGGAAUACCAGUAGCGAAGGCGACUUUCUGGACACAAACUGACGCUGAGGUACGAAAGCGUGGGGAGCAAACAGG